GGACGAACGCUGGCGGCGUGCCUAAUACAUGCAAGUCGAACGGUCUUUCUAUGGAAGCUUGCUCCACUGAGAAGAUAGUGGCGAACGGGUGAGUAACACGUGGGUAACCUGCCCAUAAGAGGGGGGAUAACAUCCGGAAACGGGUGCUAAUACCGCAUAGUUUUCUUGAUCGCAUGAUCGGGAAAGGAAAGACGGCCUUUGUGCUGUCGCUUAUGGAUGGACCCGCGGCGUAUUAGUUAGUUGGUGAGGUAACGGCUCACCAAGACGAUGAUACGUAGCCGACCUGAGAGGGUGAUCGGCCACAUUGGGACUGAGACACGGCCCAAACUCCUACGGGAGGCAGCAGUAGGGAAUCUUCCGCAAUGGACGAAAGUCUGACGGAGCAACGCCGCGUGAGUGAAGAAAGGUUUUCGGAUCGUAAAACUCUGUUGUCAGAGAAGAACAAGUUGGAGAGUAACUGCUCCAGCCUUGACGGUAUCUGACCAGAAAGCCACGGCUAACUACGUGCCAGCAGCCGC
Molecule: ribosomal RNA, 518 nt
Filed under: uncultured bacterium
Lineage: Bacteria
Description: bacterial SSU rRNA
Rfam family: Bacterial small subunit ribosomal RNA
Source: RNAcentral